This is a long non-coding RNA of Cyanistes caeruleus (blue tit), 434 nucleotides long. RefSeq lists it as uncharacterized. Lineage: Eukaryota; Metazoa; Chordata; Aves; Passeriformes; Paridae. The record is from RefSeq and is a predicted model, not a curated record.
AGGAUGGAAUAAUCACAGUACUCCUGGAACAGAUAUCCCCUCUGAGAUACAUACAGGUCCUUAUUAUUUAUGUUCAAAUCACAGUGUACUUUCCAAAUGGGCCAAAUUGAGAUUUUUCACAGCUCCAGUAGAAAACUUCUAGAUGGAAAGACUAUCGUAUCUCAAUACUCACAAAGCAAAAUCCAGUGCACAGUGUUCCACCUUACAUGGGACUAUGAAUGAGAAAGAGCAAAGCAGAUAAUGAAGUGGUUCCUAUUCCAACUCUCUCUUGCAGGAAUGAAGAAUUGUGGUUUCACAGAAGCAAGAAGCCUAGGAAAGGCAGAUUAUGAUGGUUCUAACUACCAACUCUUUAUGCUGUUAUCUUUUUUCCUUAAUAUAAUGGAAGAAUUGCUUACCUCAAAGGACGUGUCAUGUGCUGUACUUAAUAAAUGUUA